UAGUCUGACCUGCCCACUGAAUAUUUUAAAUGGCCGCGGUAUUUAGACCGUGCUAAGGUAGCAUAAUCAAUAGUCUUUUAAUUGGGGACUAGAAUGAACGGUUGGAUGAGGUACAAGCUGUCUGGCAAUUGUAAUUUUGAAUUUUACUAUUAAGUGAAAAGGCUUAAAUUAUUUAGCGGGACGAUAAGACCCUAUAAAGCUUUUAUUUGGCUUAUUAUUUUAACUAUGAUAUUUUUGUGCUUAUGUUAAGAUUGGGGUCAAAUUGGGUUGGGGCGACUGGGAUAUAAAAGGUAACUGUCUUAUGAUUAAAAUAAUGGUUUUUAGGUAUUUGAUCCUGUAGUACGGGUUAAAAGAUUAAAGUUACUUUAGGGAUAACAGCGUAAUUCUUUUUGAGAGUUCCUAUCGACAAAAGUGUUUGCGACCUCGAUGUUGAAUUAAAGUUUCGUCAAGGUGUAGCAGCUUUGAUUGUAGGUCUGUUCGACCUUUAAAGCUUU
This 494-nucleotide ribosomal RNA is filed under the name Halocaridina rubra (Hawaiian volcano shrimp). RNAcentral describes it as "partial 16S ribosomal RNA". It matches the Rfam family "Bacterial large subunit ribosomal RNA", at positions 1850 to 2597 of the family's 2925-position model. The record is from RNAcentral. Lineage: Eukaryota; Metazoa; Arthropoda; Malacostraca; Decapoda; Atyidae.